CGGAUCGGCUCCAAUGGUCGCAUGUCCAGGUCGCCUUCUCAUGCUCGAUCUCCCUUCCAUAGCUUCUGAAAGUCGGUGUUUCCACUCGCCCGUCCCCUCCUCCAUAAUGUUUCUACGCUUGCGUCCUGGCCGGAAUUUGAUCUCCGGUUUGAUUGCCAGGUCCUCCGAGACAUCGCUUGCAAUAUAAUUUUUUUUUCCUUGCACCAGAAGUGUGACUGCAUGUCAGGAACUGUAUGAUACGCAGGUCAGAUGUGAACUGCAGGCAGCUCAAAUUUCCCAUUUUUUCGAGAAUUUUUUUCCCGUGGUGCACAAACAUUAGUUUGAUUUUUUUAGAUUUUGUUCGUUCUCCUCAAGGGAGAUUUCUCUACUAUCUCCUUUCACCCAGUAUGCUCUAGGAAUCCUGGUUCGUUUCUUGAUUAUCCAAUAGACUUUGGCUAAACGACUUUGAAAAAAUUAUGAUCUGAUGAGGGUCCAUUUGCGUUGUUCCAAUCAGUUUUUCUACAUCAGGUGAACUGAUUGGAGAUCUCAUUGUGUUAUCCGCAUGACCUCCACAUCGGGAUUAACUCGAGCGAUGGAGGAUUGAGGCGGCAACAUCACCAACCAUUAUUGUCUCCCAUCCAAGUUGAUGCAGUUCUCCUACUUCCUUCGAUUCAUAUUACAUGACAGUAAUAUAGAUGUAUCUAGACAUAUUUUAAUUGUAGGUAUAUCCAUUUUAAUGCAAGUAAUAUGGAUCGGUGCGAGUACUUUUUCGUUGUCCCGGUCCCGCCCCAAGAAGAUGUGCUAGCUUGAUGAUUUUAGGUGAUUCCGUUGGCAAUCUUCAAUUAGUUUCAGUAAUUAUACCCGGUUCUUGGAUUAUCCAAUCAAUAUAGCCACUACGACAGGUUUAUGGCAGGGAUGGAGAAGUUAUUUAUUUUUGAUUCUUAAUCGCUUAUUUCCACGGAAACAAGCUGGAGGUGGAUGAGAACUUCAUCACACGCACAUG
This is a long non-coding RNA of Lolium perenne, 982 nucleotides long. RefSeq lists it as uncharacterized. The record is from RefSeq and is a predicted model, not a curated record. NCBI's taxonomy places the organism in Eukaryota, Viridiplantae, Streptophyta, Magnoliopsida, Poales, Poaceae.